ACUCAAAGGAAUAGACGGGGGCCCGCACAAGCGGUGGAACAUGUGGUUUAAUUCGAUGCUACGCGAAGAACCUCACCAGGGUUUGACAUACAGGAAGUAGUGAACUGAAAGGGGAACGACCUGUCAAAUCAGGAGCCUGUACAGGUGCUGCAUGGCUGUCGUCAGCUCGUGUCGUGAGAUGUUGGGUUAAGUCCCGCAACGAGCGCAACCAUUUUCUCUUGUUGCCACCUCCUAUUGUCGAAAGACAGUGGGGGAGCACUCUAGAGAGACUGCCUGGGAUAACCAGGAGGAAGGUGGAGAUGACGUCAAGUCAGUACGGCCUUUAUGCCCUGGGCUACACACGUGUUACAAUGGGAAGUACAGAGGGUUGCCAACCCGCGAGGGGGAGCUAAUCUCUAAAAACUUCCCUCAGUUCAGAUUGAAGUCUGCAAUCCGACUUCAUGAAGCCGGAAUCGCUAGUAAUGGCAGAUCAGCACGCUGCCGUGAAUACGUUCCCGGGCCUUGCACACACCGCCCGU
Molecule: ribosomal RNA, 518 nt
Filed under: uncultured bacterium
Lineage: Bacteria
Description: partial 16S ribosomal RNA
Rfam family: Bacterial small subunit ribosomal RNA
Source: RNAcentral